GGUUUUGAAAAAAGCUGACCUAAGACAGUAGGGGAGCAUAGCUCGUAAAUUUCCUACCGAGGCACAAAACGAUAUUGUUUAAUAACGUAUUUGUACUUUCGUGUCUAGGUUUAGAGACGAUUUUUUUCUGUCUCU
Streptococcus pseudoporcinus LQ 940-04 is the source of this 135-nucleotide non-coding RNA. NCBI's taxonomy places the organism in Bacteria, Bacillati, Bacillota, Bacilli, Lactobacillales, Streptococcaceae. The record is from Rfam.